This 433-nucleotide ribosomal RNA is filed under the name uncultured bacterium. RNAcentral's name for it is "partial 16S ribosomal RNA". It matches the Rfam family "Bacterial small subunit ribosomal RNA", at positions 29 to 507 of the family's 1533-position model. The record is from RNAcentral.
AACGAACGCUGGCGGCAUGCCUAACACAUGCAAGUCGAACGAGACCUUCGGGUCUAGUGGCGCACGGGUGCGUAACGCGUGGGAACCUGCCCUUAGGUUCGGAAUAACUCCCCGAAAGGGGUGCUAAUACCGGAUAAUGUCUUCGGACCAAAGAUUUAUCGCCUUUGGAUGGGCCCGCGUUGGAUUAGCUAGUUGGUAGGGUAAACGCCUACCAAGGCGACGAUCCAUAGCUGGUCUGAGAGGAUGAUCAGCCACACUGGGACUGAGACACGGCCCAGACUCCUACGGGAGGCAGCAGUGGGGAAUAUUGGACAAUGGGCGAAAGCCUGAUCCAGCAAUGCCGGGUGAGUGAUGAAGGCCUUAGGGUUGUAAAGCUCUUUUACCCGGGAUGAUAAUGACAGUACCGGGAGAAUAAGCUCCGGCUAACUCCGUG